UGGGGAAUAUUGGACAAUGGGCGAAAGCCUGAUCCAGCCAUGCCGCGUGUGUGAAGAAGGUCUUCGGAUUGUAAAGCACUUUAAGUUGGGAGGAAGGGCAGUAAGCGAAUACCUUGCUGUUUUGACGUUACCGACAGAAUAAGCACCGGCUAACUCUGUGCCAGCAGCCGCGGUAAUACAGAGGGUGCAAGCGUUAAUCGGAAUUACUGGGCGUAAAGCGCGCGUAGGUGGUUCGUUAAGUUGAAUGGGAAAGCCCCGGGCUCAACCUGGGAACUGCAUCCAAAACUGGCGAGCUAGAGUAGGGCAGAGGGUGGUGGAAUUUCCUGUGUAGCGGAGAAAUGCGUAGAUAUAGGAAGGAACACCAGUGGCGAAGGCGACCACCUGGGCUCAUACUGACACUGAGGUGCGAAAGCGUGGGGAGCAAACAGG
RNAcentral lists this ribosomal RNA (429 nucleotides) under Pseudomonadota bacterium. RNAcentral describes it as "Proteobacteria bacterium partial 16S ribosomal RNA". It matches the Rfam family "Bacterial small subunit ribosomal RNA", at positions 355 to 776 of the family's 1533-position model. The record is from RNAcentral. Lineage: Bacteria; Pseudomonadati; Pseudomonadota.